RNAcentral lists this ribosomal RNA (253 nucleotides) under uncultured bacterium. RNAcentral's name for it is "partial 16S ribosomal RNA". It matches the Rfam family "Bacterial small subunit ribosomal RNA", at positions 524 to 776 of the family's 1533-position model. The record is from RNAcentral.
UACAGAGGGUGCGAGCGUUAAUCGGAAUUACUGGGCGUAAAGCGUGCGUAGACCGUCGUGUAAGUCGGGUGUGAAAGCCCCGGGCUCAACCUGGGAAUUGCAUUCGAGACUGCAUGGCUAGGGUGCGGAAGAGGGAAGCGGAAUUUCCGGUGUAGCGGUGAAAUGCGUAGAUAUCGGAAGGAACACCAGUGGCGAAAGCGGCUUCCUGGUCCGACACCGACGUUCAGGCACGAAAGCGUGGGGAGCAAACAGG